AUACGGAGGGUGCAAGCGUUGUUCGGAAUCACUGGGCGUAAAGGGCGUGCAGGCGGUUUGGUAAGUCAGAUGAGAAAGCCCACGGCUCAACCGUGGAAGUGCAUUUGAAACUGUCAGACUUGAGUACUAGAGGGGAAAGUGGAAUUCCCGGUGUAGAGGUGAAAUUCGUAGAUAUCGGGAGGAAUACCGGUGGCGAAGGCGACUUUCUGGCUAGAUACUGACGCUGAAGCGCGAAAGCGUGGGGAGCAAACAGGAUUAGAAACCCUAGUAGUCC
RNAcentral lists this ribosomal RNA (274 nucleotides) under uncultured bacterium. RNAcentral's name for it is "partial 16S ribosomal RNA". It matches the Rfam family "Bacterial small subunit ribosomal RNA", at positions 523 to 796 of the family's 1533-position model. The record is from RNAcentral.